UCUCCGUUGGUGAAUCAGCGGAGGGAUCAUUACAGAGUUUUCACAACUCCCAACCCUUGCGAACCGUACCCAUUCUGUUCUCGUUGCUUCCGGCGGGGGGGACGGGGGGGCCCGAAGCGGCCUCCCCGCCCCGCCCGCCGGGGGCGGCGGGCCCUGCGAACCUUUAUAUCUCAUACACCAGAAACCGUCUGAGAAAACAAACAAAAUAAUCAAAACUUUCAACAACGGAUCUCUUGGCUCUG
This 242-nucleotide unclassified non-coding RNA is filed under the name plant metagenome. RNAcentral describes it as "partial contains small subunit ribosomal RNA, internal transcribed spacer 1, and 5.8S ribosomal RNA". The record is from RNAcentral.